UCAUUUAAAAUUACUUAUUUGUUUACUUUUUUUCAUGAUAAAGGCCGAUCGUUAACAAAAAGAAAAUGACUCCUGAGCGUUGGUACUAGUAUAUUUUAUAUGGUCUUUCUGGUUGUUGUAAUACUAGAUUUUCAUCUGUGCUGUAUGACUUCCUUUACUUCCAUCUAAUUCAAGUUGUAUCGCCUCCUUGUGGUUUUGACAGUGGAAGAAUAAACGCAC
This 219-nucleotide long non-coding RNA is filed under the name Mytilus galloprovincialis (Mediterranean mussel). Lineage: Eukaryota; Metazoa; Mollusca; Bivalvia; Mytilida; Mytilidae. The record is from RNAcentral.